This 253-nucleotide ribosomal RNA is filed under the name uncultured bacterium. Its description in RNAcentral is "partial 16S ribosomal RNA". It matches the Rfam family "Bacterial small subunit ribosomal RNA", at positions 524 to 776 of the family's 1533-position model. The record is from RNAcentral.
UACGUAGGGUGCAAGCGUUAAUCGGAAUUACUGGGCGUAAAGCGUGCGCAGGCGGUUGUGCAAGACAGAUGUGAAAUCCCCGGGCUCAACCUGGGAACUGCAUUUGUGACUGCACGGCUGGAGUGCGGCAGAGGGGGAUGGAAUUCCGCGUGUAGCAGUGAGAUGCGUAGAUAUGCGGAGGAACACCGAUGGCGAAGGCAAUCCCCUGGGCCUGCACUGACGCUCAUGCACGAAAGCGUGGGGAGCAAACAGG